This 691-nucleotide long non-coding RNA is filed under the name Heterocephalus glaber (naked mole-rat). Its description in RNAcentral is "lncRNA (ENSHGLG00100050047.1)". The record is from RNAcentral. Lineage: Eukaryota; Metazoa; Chordata; Mammalia; Rodentia; Bathyergidae.
GUUGAGAACUGUUCUGCGCAUGUGUCCUGGGAUUACUAGAUUGCGCCUACUUUGUCAUCCAGUUUUAGCCAUACCCUACCUUCCUACCUCAGUAGGAUAUGAUUUGGUGAUUCUAUAUGCUAACCUGUAGAGGAGAGUCUGUAUUAGGAAAGACGUGGAGAAGAACCAUGCGUUCUCCCUCUGCUAUGCAUUAGAACUCUAGGAAGAAAGUGACAAAUUCAAAGAUGGAGAUAGAAUGAAGCUAAAGAACAAUCACUUGCCUGAGGCCAUUUGAGGAAAAAAACCAAGAAGUGCUCUCUUUAUAGCUGUGGACAGAUGUGAACAGUCCAUUGCCAUGGACUCCUUAGACUAUUUUGGCAUUUGACAGAGCAACAGUUUCACUGUCUGUGUGUGAUUUCAGAGGAAAACAAGACCUAAAAGAAAGGCCUGAGGGGAUGCUCAUUGAUCUGGAAGAGACUGUCUACCCUUCUAAUAAGAAUAAAAAUAAUUUCAUGAAAAAUACAUCAUCAUAACAUUGAUGUAUGGACCCUGUAACAUCCAAUUUCUUAAAGGCAUCUGUAGCUACUAAGGAUGCUGGUCAUGCCCUCAUCAACACACGGACAAUAUAAAUGAGAUGAUGCUUCAUGGAACAUAAUGCACACAGAUGCUUUUCUAAAAUAUACUCACAUCUUCGAAAAUAAAAUGAUUUGGC